Molecule: ribosomal RNA, 433 nt
Filed under: uncultured bacterium
Lineage: Bacteria
Description: partial 16S ribosomal RNA
Rfam family: Bacterial small subunit ribosomal RNA
Source: RNAcentral
AACGAACGCUGGCGGCAUGCCUAACACAUGCAAGUCGAACGAGACCUUCGGGUCUAGUGGCGCACGGGUGCGUAACGCGUGGGAACCUGCCCUUAGGUUCGGAAUAACUCCCCGAAAGGGGUGCUAAUACCGGAUAAUGUCUUCGGACCAAAGAUUUAUCGCCUUUGGAUGGGCCCGCGUUGGAUUAGCUAGUUGGUAGGGUAAAAGCCUACCAAGGCGACGAUCCAUAGCUGGUCUGAGAGGAUGAUCAGCCACACUGGGGCUGAGACACGGCCCAGACUCCUACGGGAGGCAGCAGUGGGGAAUAUUGGACAGUGGGCGAAAGCCUGAUCCAGCAAUGCCGCGUGAGUGAUGAAGGCCUUAGGGUUGUAAAGCUCUUUUACCCGGGAUGAUAAUGACAGUACCGGGAGAAUAAGCUCCGGCUAACUCCGUG